RNAcentral lists this ribosomal RNA (447 nucleotides) under uncultured bacterium. Its description in RNAcentral is "partial 16S ribosomal RNA". It matches the Rfam family "Bacterial small subunit ribosomal RNA", at positions 29 to 523 of the family's 1533-position model. The record is from RNAcentral.
AACGAACGCUGGCGGCAGGCCUAAUACAUGCAAGUCGAACGCCCCGCAAGGGGAGUGGCGCACGGGUGAGUAACGCGUGGGGAUGUGCCCUUGGGUACGGAACAACAUCGGGAAACUGGUGCUAAUACUGUAUAAUGACUCCGGUCCAAAGAUUUAUCGCCCAAGGAUCAACCCGCGUUGGAUUAGCUAGUUGGUGAGGUAACGGCUCACCAAGGCUACGAUCCAUAGCUGGUCUUAGAGGAUGAUCAGCCACACUGGAACUGAGACACGGUCCAGACUCCUACGGGAGGCAGCAGUAAGGAAUAUUGGACAAUGGGGGAAACCCUGAUCCAGCCAUGCCGCGUGAAUGAAGAAGGCCUUAGGGUUGUAAAGUUCUUUUAGAUGUGAAGAUAAUGACGGUAGCAUCAGAAAAAGCUCCGGCUAACUCCGUGCCAGCAGCCGCCGUAA